RNAcentral lists this transfer RNA (50 nucleotides) under Hemidactylus alkiyumii. RNAcentral's name for it is "tRNA-His". The record is from RNAcentral. Lineage: Eukaryota; Metazoa; Chordata; Lepidosauria; Squamata; Gekkonidae.
GCAGGCAUAGUUUAACCCAAAACCUUAAGCUGUGGACUUAAAAAUAAAGA